Molecule: long non-coding RNA, 712 nt
Organism: Cucurbita maxima (winter squash)
Lineage: Eukaryota; Viridiplantae; Streptophyta; Magnoliopsida; Cucurbitales; Cucurbitaceae
Exons: 2
Source: RefSeq, a predicted model, not a curated record
AUUGAGAAGUGGCAAUUUCCAUGAAUUUGAAAUAAUCUGGUGGGCUACACGUGGCAAGCAUUUUGGGAAAGGUUGGAGUUGAGAAGAGUCUUUUGGCUUCCAGAAUCUUUCAGCUAAAUCUUGUGGCUCUCGUUUAUAUGUGGGGCUAUCUUCCCGGUGGUUUGCCGGAUAAAUCUGUUUUGCUCUCGGCGGAGCUGGUGCGGUUUCCGGGUUGUAACGACGGUGGAAGGAUGCGUGGGGCGGUGGUUGUGGAUUCGCCAUGGCCAUUUCAGGUGUUGAAGCUUUCCAUCUUUGAAAUGUUAUAACAGCCUGAUGAAGCCAGGUUCAAGGGGUAUGUAUAUGAGUCCACUUGGUGGGUCUAUGUGCGUGAGCCAUGCAUGGAGAAGUACCGCACAUCCAAUUCUGUCUAAACUAGAAAUAGCUCAAAGUCAUGCUAUGUUGUUUUAAAAGAUAGGUCACAUCAUAUAUGUGUGCGCUUGCAUUACUUGACCCCAACACUGGGGUCACUUACUAAGUAUUUCCUAAAAAACUCAAGUCAUAUGUUACACUUACGUUUCAAGUAAAAUAAGACAUCCAUGUACGAAUGACAGAGGCGACACAUGAAGACCAUAACAUCGUUUAUUGGGUUGUUUUCUAGUUUUUGGACGUAUGGUUUAUUUUUGUUUCUUAUAUGCUUUUGUAUUGAUUUAUUGAUCUUAUUUUUAAUGUGUAA